GCUUCAUCCAUGUUGUAGCAUAUGUCAGAAUUUCCAUCCUUUUUAAGGCUGAAUAAUGUUCCAUUGUAUAUAUACAUGAAACUCCUUUUCUUUUAAUAGAUGACAAACUCAUUUACAUCUAUUAAGUUACAUACAGACUCUCCAUCCUGGCAUUCCAUAACUUCUGCAGUCUGGGCCUGUUGUAUCUCUUUACUUGUGAUAUAUCUCUCACAACUACCCUCAUGCAACCAGUGCUUAAGCUAAAUGGAGUUAUUAGUUUUUCUGAGGUUUUGUGCUGCUUUCUUUCACUUCCGUGUCUUUUCUUAGGCUGUUUUCUUUGCCUGGUAUGUGCUCCUUUAAAUCCCUGCCCCACCUGACAGGCAAAAUUUAUCUAGCGUCAAAGCCCUUCUUGGUCCCACGUCCUUCCUUGAACUAACUCAUUCAUUUCCUUAUCUUGACAUUUCUCCUGAUGCCUAGACCUGCAUAUGCCUAUUGAGUGUCUCCACUUGGAUGUGCCUCAAGCACCCCAUACAGCUGGCCCUGCCUGGACUCUGUGUCCCCCCCAGGCCUGCUCACCCUCCUGCAUCUCCUCUCUUAGAGUAGCGUCACCAUCCACCCAGGUGCAGGACAUUGGGAGCCACCAGUGCUUUCCUCUCCCUCAUCUCAUCCGAUAAGUCACCAGGUCCUGUCAGUUCUACCUGCAAAGUGCUCUACUCCCCUUUCAGGCACACCCUUGAGUGGUGCUUACCAGGGAACAGAGGUGGCAGAUGUUUCAGGCUGGCCUUGUCAGUGUCUCUGGCCUCACCUCUGAGGCAGAACAUCAGCACUGGAUAAGCCUUGUUGAAGUCCCGUGAAAAAAUCCCCUACUCUUACUCUUUGCACCGGACUAGCACAGUGCUUGGUGCAGAGCAGGUGUCAAGGAAGUGUUUGUCCAGUUGCAACGGACCUGCCAGGCCUUGAAUACAAAUGAAGUUGAUUUACAUCAAUAACCCAGAGUUUCUCUAAUUACUCUCACCUACUUGCUCAGACCUCCAAACUCAUCUGCUAAGUCAGCCUCAGGAGUUUCUGGGCAUCUAAAGGCUACCUCCCAUGGUGUCCACAAUCAUUGGCAUCUGCCAUACUCUCCUCUCCCACCCGGGCUCCACUGGCGUCUGUGGCCAUGAAUGCCUCUUGAGGGAGAUUUGCCUCUGCUCCUACUGAGUGUCAGUGUCUGUGACAAAAGUCCUGGUUCCUGGGCUUGCAAUGCCUGAGCGUGCUGGGUGGGCUCCCUGAAGAGCAGGGCAAAGGUCUCUUCCCUCAUCCCAUGCCACCCUUGGCCACCUGAGCUCCAGAGCAGGCUUGUUGGGGUCCAAGUCCCUAAAGUCUCCUAGCACAGUGGCUCCUCCACAGGCUGACCACUGCCGCUGAUGGGGCUCGCAGGUGGCCCAGGGGGCAGGGCUCCCGUGCUUUCUACUCCCUUCCAAAAUUGCCCCCUCUUCAGAGGAAGUCUUGGAACGCAGGAGGUCUGGUGUCUGACCCUCAACUAGAAAGCCUCAAUAAGUUAUUUUAACUAAGGGACCAGGGAGCUAGAAAGGGCCUUGUGAGGUGCUGAAGUGGCCAGUGAGAGGUAGGUCCUGUUUUGUCCUUUCUCUCCUCAAUAAAGGUCAGUCCAUUUCCCCAUGGGUACCAAGGAGGGCUUGGACAAGAUCACUGGUUUCUAACUGGGCCAGAGAACCUUUGCUGGUUCAUGACAGCAUCUUUACUCAUCUGGGGCAAAAUAAGUAGAAUAAAGGCAGUGUAGCAAAUGUUUUCAUAAAAUUAUUUAACUUAAAGGACUAUUCUAUAUUCUUAUAUCCUGCUCUUCCUAUUUCUGUUUUAGGUAUUAAAAUAUUCUUUCUAUCAUGAAAUCAUAAGUUGAUGAUUCUAAAAGAAAUCCUCAUUUAGAAAGAUAAAAAGUUGGUCACCUUCUGUUGGCCCUCCAUUUUUUUUAACUUUACAGAUGCAUGAAUCCCAAAGUCUGUGAGCUGUGGGACCUCACGCCUACUCCUAGUGCUGAUGCCCCCGAGGCUGUCAUCCAAGGGAAGCUGGAGCUGUAACCAGGGAGAGAAGCAAUGGAGGGAGGCGGUUUGACCUGAGGAGAGAGAGACAUCCUAGCUGUCCUCCAGACCCAGCUCAAAUGCCACCUCCUGUGGGAAGCCUUCCAGGAACCCAUCCACCAGUCAGAUGUGGUUUCCCUUUUUCUUGGUACCAAGCUCUCAGGGCUGAAAGCGCUUUCUCCCAUGUUUUUCCCUUUGUAAUGUUCAUGGAUUGUCUUCCCUUCGAGGGCAGAGACUUCCAGCACAAGGCUGGCACAGAGGUGGUGCCCAGGGGUGUCUAUGGGACUGAACUUACCUCUCCCAUUCCACCACUGUAGAAGGCAAACUGCGAAGGCUCUGAUUACAUCUCAGAUCCAACACACACUGUAAUUUUGGGGGGUGGGGGAGUGGGCUCCUGAAAUUCAAAGCAUGGCUUCCAGAAUGGGGAUCUAGGUGUGGGGCGGAUGGCAGCUGCUAUUCAAAAAUGUUCAGGGAGGAAGGAGAGGAUCUUGUUUGCCGUGUCCAGGAAAUUGCCCCAUUGCUGGGUACCUGGUUGUUUGUGGCAACAUUGCUAACAAGCCUCUAGCUAGAGUCCCAGCAGAGUUCCUCUCACCCACCCCAGUGGGGCAGAGAGGCAUGUAGCUCCUUCCACCCAAAUCUACCUAUUAAAAGAACCCCUGAAUCCCACUGGCCCCCAGUGCAUCCCAGUUGCUGGUAAAAUGGAGCCAUUGCAGAGGUGGAAGGAAGAAGUACGUCAGUCCUGGCCCAGCGAUCCAGGCAAGUGUUGGCCCAUCCAGAGCCACAGCCACCACAUACUGAGCAUUUACAGGAUGCUCAGCCCCUGAGCUAUGUUAUCUAAUUAACUCUCACAAUAGCCCCUAUUUUACAGAUGAGGACUCAGAGGCUAAGUGACUGCUCCAGGUCACAGGAUGGCAGUAACUGUUGGAACUGGGACCCAGGCUGACCUGUUAGGUGGAGGGUGUCUCUUGGGUUUGGGUGGUGGGGUACACGGCUCUCCCUACUUCUAGGCAAACUCCUCUGUCUCACAAAAGGGGAUACUGACGCACAAGAAGGGAACAACUCUUCCGUUGACAACGUAACAAGUGAGUGGCAGAGCUGGGACGUGAACCCAGAUUUCCAGGCUGCUUCCGGCUCCCCUGGCCGCCCAGUAGAGUCUACCACCUAGCAGGGCAGACUUCAUCUCGGGAUGUUUAGUCCAUUGGGCUUUGCGGUGUCUUACGCCUUCAUAGGACAUAAAACUGUAGCCUUUGGGGAGCAGGGUGGGACCUUAGAGAUCAUCUCCUUGGGCUCCCUCUUUGUAGUGUUGAGGAAUUUAAGGCCUAAAGAAGGCAAAUGACUCACAAGGCCCUUUUGAUGUCAGGAAGUCCAGCCCAAAAAAAGCAGCCUCCUGAUCCAGAGUCCCUUGGAUUCUCGGAACCUAUUGGCUCCAACUUUAGAACCGAUUUUAAUACUAGGUAACUUGGUAGCCAAACCCAGAGCCAACUGGAAACUAUAAAUUAGAAUGUGGAGAAGGGCAGCUUCCACACAGAGCUGUCUGUUGAAUGAAUGAAUGAAUGAAUGGAUGGGUGGAUGGCUGCCAGGCUCAUUUCUGCCUCCCCCCCCUGGUUUCCCUUCCUCUGCUCCAUCUCUUGCUGUCAGAUUAAUUCUCUUCAAACAGCCUUUGCCAGGACAUGGCUCUGCUCAGCAGCCCCCAGGAGUUCCCCAUUGCCUGGAUAACUAACUGAACAGUCUCCUUCCGUAGCUGGCCCCUCUGAGCCGUUCUCCACAUUGUGAACUCUUUAAAUUGCAAAUCACAACACUCCCCUUCAGAGGCUCUCCAUCACCCCCAGGAAAAAGCACCAAAGUCUUACCUCAGGGUUUUAACUGCAGGGUUUGACCUGGACCAUCUUUCCAACCUCAUCUCAUGCCAGCCUCUCCCUUCCUCUGGCUGCAGCCACACUGCCUUCUCUCAAGUUCCCACUUCAGGGGCUUUGCACAUGCUGUUCCCUCUGCCUGGGGCAUUCCAGACUCUACUCUGCCUUGCUAACACUUGUACAUCCUUUAGAUCUCAACCUAAUGUCACUGCUUCCAGGCAGCCUUCCCUGACCUCUCCAGAUUGGGUUGACACCCUCCGUCAGCUGUUCCCACAGCCACCGGACUGCCCCCAGCACUGCACUGUCCCAUUUGACUGUGUGUAACGUCUUCAGUGUCUGUCUCCUGUCCAUACUAUGAGCUCCGAGGGGGCAGGGGCUGUCCUGUUCACCAUCAGGAGCUCAGUGCCCGGAACGCAGCCUGGCACACACUGUGUGGAAUGAUUAAAUAUAUUUGGUUGUUCAUUGAAA
Long non-coding RNA from Equus caballus (horse), 4375 nucleotides. RefSeq lists it as uncharacterized. The record is from RefSeq and is a predicted model, not a curated record. Lineage: Eukaryota; Metazoa; Chordata; Mammalia; Perissodactyla; Equidae.